RNAcentral lists this ribosomal RNA (504 nucleotides) under uncultured bacterium. Its description in RNAcentral is "bacterial SSU rRNA". It matches the Rfam family "Bacterial small subunit ribosomal RNA", at positions 37 to 507 of the family's 1533-position model. The record is from RNAcentral.
UGGCGGCGUGCCUAAUACAUGCAAGUCGAGCGCAGGAAACAAGUAGAUCCCUUCGGGGUGACGCUUGUGGAAUGAGCGGCGGACGGGUGAGUAACACGUGGGCAACCUACCUUGUAGACUGGGAUAACUCCGGGAAACCGGAGCUAAUACGGGAUGAUCAUUUGAAUCGCAUGAUUGAAAUGUAAAAGUGGGGAGUAAUCCUCACACUAUGAGAUGGGCCCGCGGCGCAUUAGCUAGUUGGUAAGGUAAUGGCUUACCAAGACAACGAUGCGUAGCCGACCUGAGAGGGUGAUCGGCCACACUGGAACUGAGACACGGUCCAGACUCCUACGGGAGGCAGCAGUAGGGAAUCAUCCGCAAUGGGCGAAAGCCUGACGGUGCAACGCCGCGUGAACGAUGAAGGUUUUCGGAUCGUAAAGUUCUGUUAUGAGGGAAGAACAAGUGCCGUUCGAAUAGGGCGGCACCUUGACGGUACCUCACGAGAAAGCCCCGGCUAACUACGUG